RNAcentral lists this ribosomal RNA (252 nucleotides) under uncultured bacterium. Its description in RNAcentral is "partial 16S ribosomal RNA". It matches the Rfam family "Bacterial small subunit ribosomal RNA", at positions 524 to 776 of the family's 1533-position model. The record is from RNAcentral.
UACGGAGGGUGCAAGCGUUAUCCGGAUUCACUGGGUUUAAAGGGUGCGUAGGUGGGUUGGUAAGUCAGUGGUGAAAUCUCCGUGCUUAACAUGGAAACUGCCAUUGAUACUACUGAUCUUAAUUUUCAGGAGGUAAGCGGAAUAUGUCAUGUAGCGGUGAAAUGCUUAGAUAUGACAUAGAACACCAAUUGCGAAGGCAGCUUACUACAGGAAUAUUGACACUGAUGCACGAAAGCGUGGGGAUCAAACAGG